AUGAAAAUUAUUUUGGUUAUGGAUUUUUCUUUGAACGGGCAAGCAACAGCUAAGUUAGUCACUGGUAUCUAGAAAGAUAAAAAGAUUUUUAGUGUGAACAGAAUUGAAUUAGGUUAUUUACGCUUUAUAAUGAAACAUUAAAAUUAAUAAUGGACUACUCCUUGUAGUAGCUAUUGUCAGUUUUAUAGUUUUAGUUUAAAAGUCCUUUCCUUUCCUUUUUUUUAGUUUUAAACUUCCUUUUUGUUUAAUA
RNAcentral lists this unclassified non-coding RNA (250 nucleotides) under Melitaea cinxia (Glanville fritillary). Its description in RNAcentral is "misc RNA ENSMCXG00005005431.1". Lineage: Eukaryota; Metazoa; Arthropoda; Insecta; Lepidoptera; Nymphalidae. The record is from RNAcentral.